AAUCUGCCAAGGGAGAAAACAGAAAAGAUUCAGGACGGGCUGCAGCUCUGUUGCGCCGGCAGGAAGCGCCUUCCCUGCCAGUCCUCCUGAUAAAGUGAGAGGUGCGGAGGACCAGCCCUUUUCAUUCCCCUGAAGGCAGGGAGAUCUUCCUAACCCAGAAUCCAAAAUGCUGCAGUUCCAGAAGGGCCUGCCUGUGGUUCCAGGCAAACACCAGGCAGCUCCAGAGCACAGGGUGGGUCUGGCAGGCAGCUGGGAGCAUGUUAUGGACUCGGGCUGGAAGGGGAAUGAGUUUCCUUUCCCUACAGCAGCUGUCCCAGUGCCCUGCUGCUUGCAAAUGUCCUGAGUGACCAGUCUGGGCUCCCUGUCCAGUGCACCCCGACAUGUUCCCUGGGAUGAAUUCCCAGCGACUCCCUCUGCUCCUGUCACAUGCUGUUUUGAGGAACCAUCCCUGGCUCCCUGUUGAUGAUUCCUGAUGUACGGGCUGCCCAAGCACAACCCCUUCAGGCGUGGGAAGCCGACUUCCUUCCCGGCGGGUGGAAACAGCCAGUGAGCAGAGUGUUUUGGGGGGUCCUCUUGUCUGUUCCUACAGGGCAUUCACUGGUGACCCACACUGACACUGCUUUUUGGAGGACAAGGCAGAGUUGACCAUCCCAGUCUUGCCUGGAGGUCAUAGGACCGUUGUCACUGCAGCCUCAGGUCUGAUGCAUAAUCCCAUGACCCUCCAGAUCUGAGCCAUGACCCACUCUGGGCCCUGCCGGCGGGGAGGCGGUGGGCCCAUGGGGGCUGCCUCACUGGCCUCCCUCGUCCUCUAUUCCGGGUUGGGGUUGGCUCUCAGCACACUGGGGAAAAGGGUGGGGUCGAUGACUUGUCCCUGGCUCCCUCCCCUUGCCCCAUGCCUGCCAUAACCGCAGCUUCAGAGAAAGGUGCCACACUCGCUUGGCUGACAAUGUCGGGGAGUCCCCUGGGCUCCACACCAGGGCGUGUGCCCUUGGAAAACCACGGUGACUGAAUCAUGUCCCUUUCAGCCAAAACUGGAAGACAGCCCAGCUCCCUGCCUUCAGGUGACCAGAUCUCUAAGUCACAUUACUGGCCCCAGGGUCAAGUCCAGGCUCCCCAGCUGGGGUACCUCCCAGGCUGAGUACAGGCCUUGCUCCCUCCUUCCUCCCUGCACGUGCUCUGAGCCUCCAGCCCGACGCCUGGGAUGCCGGUGCCCCUUGGGCCCCAGACCCUACUACUCUUGAGUGACAGGCCUCUUCCUAGGGGUUUCUGUGCAUCCGUCACAUCACCCACGUUAGAGUCCCUUCCUGUGAGGACAGAAGGGCCCUGAAGACAGAGCCGGCCCCUGGUGAGCUCUGCUUUCCCGCACUGACCCCUCCUGGGCUGCAGCUCCCCACCUGGCAGCUGCCGCCCCCCAUGGCCCUGGUCGAGGUCACCUGUCGUUCCCGUCCCCACCACUCACCAAGCGCUCCCAGGUUCUCCGUCUGGAAGACCCUCUGCAGCGGGGGGAUGUAAAUGACCGCCAGCUGCCCCAGGAUGGACCCCAGGACGGAGUAGAGGAACAUGUGGUUCCUGAGAAAGCCGAUCUCAAAUAUCAGCUUGGUCUGCAGGGAGAAGGUCACACGGGGGAUUGUGUGCUGUCCACACCCCAGGUACAGGCAGGGGAGCUCUGACUGCCCACGCUGAGCCAGAGCCGCUCAAUGCUGCGGGCAGGGUCGGGGCGCUGCUGUCGAGAACACACAGCAGCUCUGCAGCGAGGAGGGUCAGCCCGGGUCUCACCUGAGAGCGGCAGGUCAAGGCGUUGAAGAGAUCGAAAAACACAAAACAAGUGAACGUCAUCGUCGUGGUGCGGGGAGUGCUUGCUCUGUCUUCAGGCAUCUGGAAGAUGUGAGCUGUGGCAGGAGGGCAGGGACUGCAGUCCCCAGCGUCUGCACCGCACCAGGGCUUGGAGAACAGGCCGGGGUGACCCUCGCUCACCUCCUUCCAGAAGAUAAAGAGGGUCCCGCUGAUGAUGAUGGCCGCGGACAUGAGGAUCUUCAGGAUGAGGGCUCUGCUGAGGAUGGUGUCCCGCACACUCCGUGGUGGCUGCCUGAAGGCGUCUUUGUCAACGGGCUCUACCCCCAAGCUGCUCCGAACAAGACACAGACACUUUGAAAUGAACCAGGAAUGAAAUAAAGGACCCUUGAAACAGCUGUGCCUGAGCCUCCCAGGCCAAGUUGGCACAGGGGGCAGGGCCAGGCAUUUGCUGAACGCCCCCAGGCAUCGCACCUGCCCUCCUCGGCACCUUCCAGAAGCCCCAGAGCCUGGGUCCAUGGGCAGCUGUGCCCCUCCAUCUGUCCCGCAGACAGUGAAGGAAGACCACCCCGUAAGGCCAACCACACACAGUUCCAUACACCCAGAUGAUCUCCAUCACCCCGAGGGGACCCCCCCCAACGUUGCGCCUGGAGAAACAGGCUCCAGGCUCCGCCCUCCGCAGAGCCCCUCAUCAGCUGAGAGAGACCAGCCUCCAGCCAACUCCACACAGCAGGGUUGAGGCUAGACCCGCAGCAGGCGGUAUGGUGGGAGUGGCCGGGUGAGGCCCUGCCGCUCAGACACAGCUGAGGCCAGCUUCCUGGUCCCACUUCUGCUCCCAGGGAGGGCUGGCAGGAGAGGUAACCCUCACACUUGGCUUUGGGGACACAAAUGAGGACUCUCUUUCCCUUGGCAGCUAUCACUGGUGAUAACAGCAGCACUGAGCUCCAGCGGAAGCACUGGCUCUGUGCUCAUACGGUUACGCACACGUGGCCAGAUGGGUCCCCUGACUCCAAAGCGCAUUCCUUCCCCCACACCACUUGGCCAGCUUGUUGAAGGGGAUAUUAAGUGGCGGAGCGGGUGGACUCCUGAGCACCUACUGAGUGGCAAGCCCUUUAUCUCUAGACAUCAGGGAUGAAACACAAACUCCGCCUCCAUGAAACUGAUGUUCUAAAGGGGAGACAGAUCACAAUCAGAUCCAUAAGGAAAAGUGUGUCUGUGUGUAUCUUCCUCUCUAGGGAAAAAUACAGCAGGGUGAGGGGAUUGAGUGGGAGUGCAAUCAGGGAAGACUUCCUGAAGGCAGUGACUGGUGACUGGAAUGAAGCAUGAGAAUGAGCCAUGCAGGUUGCCCAGAGAGAGCAUCCAGGCAGAGGGAGCAGAAAGUUCCAUCCUCACCCAGCUCUGCCGGCCCAGGUACUUUCUCCUCUGCCUUCUACUCCCAGUCUCACUGCAGUGCAACACACUUCAGUUUUCUGGGAACUCCUGAUGGAAAGUGGCUGUAUUUGUUCAUCCCUAUAGCCUUGGGGCACAGCCAGCAGCCCCUGGAGGAAGCCCCGCAGGUGGGUAAAGAGACACAGGGCUCCCAGCCGGCCCUGCCUCACCUCUGCGCCGGUGGCCCAUCCAUGAUGAUGUUGAUCCAUAGGAUCUGCAUGGCGUUGAGGGGGCUGGGCAGGUUGAACACGGUGGACAGAGUGAUGAGACUCAGGGCGGAGAUGCUCCUGCGGGGCA
RNAcentral lists this long non-coding RNA (3516 nucleotides) under Homo sapiens (human). RNAcentral describes it as "HSALNT0387423". The record is from RNAcentral. Lineage: Eukaryota; Metazoa; Chordata; Mammalia; Primates; Hominidae.